CUCGAUGUUUCCAGGCUCUUGGCACGGCUCGGUGGAAAGAUCCCCCUUUUCCUCCCACAGCGGCUCCGGAAUGUGUGCGGAAUUUGAAGAGCUGGGCCGAGAGCUUGGGGCGAGCCCACCGAAAGGCAGGGAAGAGCGUGCAGAGCGGCACGGAGCUCUGGCAUCCCCGCAGUGCAGCGAGCGCAUCUCGCCCUUGGCGGGAUCAGGAGGCGCAGGAACCGCGCAGGUUACGGGAUGAGUGUGCCAGGCGAUAUGGAGCGAGCAGCAGCGGCACACCAGCGCUUGUCUGCUGUGCUGUCUGCGCUCUUUAAUAGAAAUUGCCCUUUCUGGGGGUUUUAUUAAGAAGAUUUUUGUCUUCUUUCUAUUAUCUCUGUAAGCACCAGAGUGAAGCAUUCGUGUCUGCCGGCCAGUCUGGCAGUUUUAUGUUUCCAGAAUCUGCUGGGAAAAAGUCGGAACCCGCAGAAACACAAGAUUCCCCUGGCAUCACGUUGGUUUGUUCCUGUCAGCAUAUUUAAUCAUUUUUAUGCUAAAGAAUUGUGCAGUGAGCUGAUCUUAGCAAUGAUUUACUCUGCUUGAGGCUUUAUUGAUUUUUUUUCUUUAGCAAGGACAUAAGGAAAGGAGUGAAGGAAGGAUGACACGGUUUGUAAAGAAAAAAAUUCAGUGUACGUUUGAAGUGUAGUCGCUGUUAAAUAUAUAGACAUAUACACGAUGCUUUAUGCAGCUAUAAAAACAAAAGGUCUCUUUGCCUCAGGAUAUUUCUCUUACAGCAACAGGUAGCAAAGGCUCCUCUGUCCCCUUCUCUCCCCUUAUCUCCUCCCCUUCAGCUCCUCCUGACAAAAUGCCAGUUUAAAAGGUCAGAGUGUUUAUGUAAAUAUUGUGCUUUUCUUAACAAAGACUGCUACGCGUCAAGCCUGCAAUGACUGUCAAAUAGACUCAAGACAUUCAGUGAGGGUACUGUGGGUUUCCUAAGACUGAUAAAAUCUGGCAGAAAACAAAGGACAGAAGAGUGUGCCUGGGAUGGAUCCACAGCGCCGGGCGCCCGUGGGCAGCAGCUCCGCCACGGCAGCGCUUGGUACUGCAGUGUCCACCGCAGCUUCACACCGCAUGUGUGUGAGACAGGCACCACAAAAUGGAUCAAAAGAGAUUUGCUGGUAUGCUAAUGCCUUUCUGCUCUUCCCUUCAGGUUUCUUCCUCUCUCUAGUGGCGUCCUGGUCUGAACUUGCUUUGCGGCUCCUUCGCACCAAAGGCAGCUUAAAUCAGCCAAGGAGGAUUUUGAGUCUGACCAACCUCACCCUCCCAAUAAAAGAGAUUGACUUCA
Molecule: non-coding RNA, 1318 nt
Organism: Cyanistes caeruleus (blue tit)
Lineage: Eukaryota; Metazoa; Chordata; Aves; Passeriformes; Paridae
Source: RefSeq, a predicted model, not a curated record